This 1806-nucleotide long non-coding RNA is filed under the name Rattus norvegicus (Norway rat). Its description in RNAcentral is "long non-coding RNA NONRATT004851". The record is from RNAcentral. Lineage: Eukaryota; Metazoa; Chordata; Mammalia; Rodentia; Muridae.
GGCCAGGACAAGGGGGUGCCAGAGCCAUGACCACUACCCUGCCCUACCACUGCCUCUCCAUCUCAGUAUUCCCCCCCACCCCCAUCACUUAUAACACACAUACCUCAUCCAGCCUCCUCCCUGCUCAGACUUGGGGAGGGUGGGGGAGGAGCCCCUACCCCUUCCCCGGGUGGUGGGUCUACAGGGCUGGGAGAGGGCAGGGCGUGUGACACAGACACCGUCCAUAAGGGGGAAGAUUACUUCCUGCCCUAGGAACUCCUGGGUGGAGGAGGGGGACACUACCCAGAGGCGCUACUGAAUGUAUGAGAAGCUGGUGCUGGGGUGGGGGGAGGGGGUUGUGGCUAGAAACAGGGAAGGAGGUAGACAGGUCCCUUUUCCCCAGAGAUGGGUGGGACCGGUAGGGGUGACUUGAGGGGCUCCUACUCCUGCCCCACAGUUGACAAUCAGUAUGUCUGUUAAUGUGCGAUUUUUCACCCCGUUGUGUUUUGGGUCAGGAUUUUAAAGAAAGAUAUUUUUAUGGUAAUUGUUGCUCGUCUAUUUUACUAUAUAUUUAUGUAAUAAAUAUAUGAUGAAAAUAACCCCCGGGCACCCCCCCUAGACUUGCGUGCUGUUUCCCCAUAUUCUCCCAUCUGCUGGCAGAGUACCCACCCCACAAGCUGACCAGAUGGAGAGGUGCCCCCCAACCCCCAGCCUUGGCAGUAGUCCCCCCCCAUUCCCCAAACGAGAGCACAUCACAGAAGCCAGCUCAGCUGUGAACUAUUGGAUUUGAGACAGGAACAGAACAAAUCGAGGGGCCAGAGGAGGGUGGGAGAGCAAGAGUGGUUUAAAUACGGGAGGAAGGGAGCAUGGGGGUGGGGGGGAAGAGUUAUUUACAAGAAGGCUCAGGGGGCCAGAGGCUCAUCUUGGAAUAUUUUAUAACAAUAUAAAUAAGAUUCUGGUUUGCUUUUCCUUUUCGUCUCGUAAAGGAGAGAGAAGUGCAGAGUUCGAUUCUGUACAAGGGGGCAGCGGCAGAAGGCCGGCCGGGCGGGUCACUGGGCGUCCACCCGGAAGGACAGCAGCUUCUCGGAAUGCAUGUUGUUCAGGGUCCGCAGGUCCGGCAGCUUGAGCAGCAGUUUGGUGAAGCGGGAAGUCUCCGAGGGCCGGUUCUUCAGCACCAGAGCCCGAAGAGCCCGCAGCAGCGUCUCCUGGAGCUGCUCCACCGAAGCGGAAUUCUCCAUUCCCGAGCGGUCUGUGGGGAAGACGACAGCAGUGAGGCAAGCUCCCUGAGCUCCUCUUCCUCUGACGAGGACACGGAGGUCUGCGAGGACCUGGCAGGCAAGGCAGCCUCUCCCUGAGGCCCCUUGGAGGGCGAUGGGGAAGGAGAAGGAGCAUGCUACUCCUUCUCCAGGGCCUCUGCCCUAGAGCUGGGCACGCCCACAUGCUGGGAGCAAGGCCACAGGCUGGCCGCCUCCCACUCAAGACCACCCUCCUACCCCUGAGCACGCCACACGUGGCCAAGCUCCCUUGUUAUUUGUUCUGUAGUUCCCUCUGCCUGGGAUGCCCUUCCCCCUCUCUAUGCCUGGCAAUACCUUGUCCCUUUGAGGCCCCACUCAAGUGUCACCUCCUUCCCCAGCUCUCCCAGGCAGAAAUAGUUGUCUGUGCUUACGUGGUUCAUGCUUCUUCUGUGACACUUCUCGCUGUUUUAUAAUUAGUCGGGCAUGAGUCUGUUUCCCAAGCUAGACUGUGUCUGAAUCAUGUCUGUAGCCCAGUGCCCAGUGCCGGGCCUGGCAUAGAGUAGGAACUCCAUAAAAGGUAUGUUGAAUUGAA